AAGUCGUAACAAGGUCUCCGUUGGUGAACCAGCGGAGGGAUCAUUACCGAGUUUACAACUCCAAACCCACUGUGAACCUUACCUUCUGUUCUGUUGCCUCGGCGGGGGGGAAACCGCCCCGGGAGGGUAACUCCCCCGGGGGGACCCCUCCCCCUCGCCGGCAGCACCAAACUCUUGAAUUUACAGCGGACUAAAACGUUCUGAAUGGCAAAAACAAAAACAAGUUAAAACUUUCAACAACGGAUCUCUUGGUUCUG
RNAcentral lists this unclassified non-coding RNA (257 nucleotides) under fungal sp. RNAcentral describes it as "partial internal transcribed spacer region". The stretch from base 1 to 46 matches the Rfam family "Eukaryotic small subunit ribosomal RNA", at positions 1786 to 1831 of the family's 1831-position model. The record is from RNAcentral. Lineage: Eukaryota; Fungi.